AUUUUUCAAUCAAGGCAGUGUCUAGAAAUCUUUAUCUAAAAACAGAUUAUUGGCUUUCUCUUGAUUAUCAUUGUUUUCCACAGUUUAGAAAAUGUUAAAGCAUGAAACUCAGUUGCUUAAGUGAUUGGGCAGGAAGAUGGAAAUAAAAGCUGUUUUGAAAAUGGUAUCUUCUUUCUUUCCUAGCCUUAAAACCAUAUAUACUAUUAUACAAGGGACUGGAGAAUUACAUAUUUUUUAUAUAUGAUUUAAGGUCCUGUAAGUGCGUAUUAUGCUAAAAGGACUGCUUUCCAAGAGCUUGGGCUACAAAACAACUUUAAUUGAAAUACAUUUUUGACAGAAGUUACCACUAUGCAUCUCAUCUGGCAUUAAAUUAUGCUGCCUGCACUGUCAGCUACUAAUGCUAACUGGUAGGAUAAAAGUUAUGUUAGUUUUUGUUCCCUGUUUCAUGUAGAUGACCUCAGAAGGGCUGAUAUUCACUUGCCCUAGGCAUUACUUUGUUUAAAAAAAAAAA
Gavialis gangeticus (Gharial) is the source of this 511-nucleotide long non-coding RNA. RefSeq lists it as uncharacterized. The transcript is spliced from 3 exons. NCBI's taxonomy places the organism in Eukaryota, Metazoa, Chordata, Crocodylia, Gavialidae. The record is from RefSeq and is a predicted model, not a curated record.